CAGCAGCCGCGGUAAUACGAAGGGUGCGAGCGUUAAUCGGAUUUACUGGGCGUAAAGCGUGCGUAGGCGGCUUUUUAAGUCGGAUGUGAAAUCCCUGAGCUUAACUUAGGAAUUGCAUUCGAUACUGGGAAGCUAGAGUAUGGGAGAGGAUGGUAGAAUUCCAGGUGUAGCGGUGAAAUGCGUAGAGAUCUGGAGGAAUACCGAUGGCGAAGGCAGCCAUCUGGCCUAAUACUGACGCUGAGGUACGAAAGCAUGGGGAGCAAACAGGAUUAGAUACCCGCGUAGUCCCUGUCUCUUAUAC
This 301-nucleotide ribosomal RNA is filed under the name uncultured bacterium. Its description in RNAcentral is "partial 16S ribosomal RNA". It matches the Rfam family "Bacterial small subunit ribosomal RNA", at positions 509 to 807 of the family's 1533-position model. The record is from RNAcentral.